GGUGGAGACACUCCUUUGGUUCAACUGGCGCAAAUAAGUUUUUGGAAAAAAAUGCAGAGCGAAAGGCGGAGGUGUUUCUCAUCGCUUGCGACCAUGCUACCUGCCCUUGCUAACUUUUGACAACAGGGCAAGGCAGUGGCCAGAACAUGUCACCUCGCAGAUGCUUCUCUGAAACAUAGCACAUUAUUAUUAUUAUUAUUCCAUUUACAAUAUAACCAACUUUUCCUCCAAGGAGCUCGAAGUGGCAUGCAUAGGGCUCCCCAUUCUCUCCUCACAAUAACCCUGUGAGGUAGGCUAGGUGGAGAAGCAGUGGCUGCCCCAAGGUCACCUGGUGUACAAGCUUCAUGGCUGAGUUGGGAUUUCAACCUUAGUCUCCCAAGUCCUACUCCACCAUAACCCCUAAGCAGCCUGGAGAAGGCCAGACUGCCUCAGGGGCUUUUGAAUGCGCCUUCAGGAGAACAAUGCUGAUCUGAAGGGGGAAGCUAGGAAGCAGUAAACAGAAAUAUUGCAUCCACUUUUAUUUGUGGUCAAUCCAGCACAUUUCUUAGCCUGUCCAUUGUAACAUAAGUGUUAUGUACUGAAGUUAUCACCCUGGGCCAGCAGGGGGGUGCUGUAGAUAGUUAUGCAAAUGAAGGAUCGAAAGUGACGUUCAGUGAUUGGAUAGUUUGUAUGCAAAUGAAGGAUCGAAAGUGACGUUCAGUGAUUGGCUAGUUACAGAAAAUGGUUACUGUUGCAUUCUAGUGGAGCUCUAUAUAAGCAGGCUGACUGAGCUCCUCAUUUCAGUUCUGUUCCAGCUUACAAACAAAGAGCUGCUUUGGAAGAAUCACUGUGUCGUCUGAUAUGUUCGCCCACAACUUAACAAUAAGAGUCAUAAGAGUUCAGAACUGGGUUUCCUUUUAACCUCUGAAUGGAGCCUUUCCAUUUUAGAAGAAGCACGGGUGAACUCAAAAUCUUAUAACUUUGGUCUAUGAAAACAAACCAUUGCUACACCCUUAGUGCCUAUGCCAAACAUGUCUACAGCUUCCCAUCAUUCACCAGGGCCAAACCCCAGCUUUUUCCUUCUCAGAAAACUUCGCUCACCAAGCCCUUUCAUAUUUGCUUGCUUUUCAGAGCGGGUUUAGCAAAGCAAGCAGAAUUAAUUGCCCUUGAGAAGAUGACCACGGACAGAAAACUGGCCACAGCUCCUAGCUUUAGUAGCAGGUCAGGGAGCCUAGCUUUCAUCUGCUGGCAUCAAACCUUUCUAUAAAAGAUAAAUUAAACCACAAGGAAAUUACUGCAGUGGCUACAAGGGGCGAGUCUUGCCUGUUCCAUACUCAGGUUUCUCCCCAAGGAGGAAUGGGGUUGCAGAAAGAGGACAGUGGCUAUUCCAGAUGCAGUUACUUCUGGAUGGAGAUGAAGGAAAUCAAUGAAAUGUUUAUAGAAGGUAGGCAGAGACUGAGGCAGUGUGCAUACAUCUCGGAACAUAGCAUAUGGAAACUAUUAGGUAUAUGAGAAUUAGGUGUGCAGACCACUGAGGUUUCUUGGAAAAGGGCAUGAAGAUUCUAACGAAAUGUAUGUGAUCUUCCAUAAAAUUAAGAGAAGCACUGCUUUUGGCUUUGUUUAUAAAAUAAGUGUUUAAGCAAGUAUAAAAGUGGCAUACAGAGUAUAAUAUACAGUAUAGAAAUUUAAUUCACAUACUAACCUUGUC
Podarcis raffonei (Aeolian wall lizard) is the source of this 1687-nucleotide long non-coding RNA. RefSeq lists it as uncharacterized. The transcript has 3 exons. Lineage: Eukaryota; Metazoa; Chordata; Lepidosauria; Squamata; Lacertidae. The record is from RefSeq and is a predicted model, not a curated record.